Non-coding RNA from Angiostrongylus cantonensis (rat lungworm), 73 nucleotides. NCBI's taxonomy places the organism in Eukaryota, Metazoa, Nematoda, Chromadorea, Rhabditida, Metastrongylidae. The record is from Rfam.
GGUCCUGUGGUGUAGUGGCUAUCACGUCUGCUUCACACUCAGAAGGUCACCGGUUCGAUCCCGGCCAGGACAU